UGGGGAAUAUUGGACAAUGGGCGCAAGCCUGAUCCAGCAAUGCCGCGUGUGUGAAGAAGGCCUUCGGGUUGUAAAGCACUUUUAUCAGGAGCGAAACGCUGUCGGCUAAUACCCGGCGGAACUGACGGUACCUGAGGAAUAAGCACCGGCUAACUUCGUGCCAGCAGCCGCGGUAAUACGAAGGGUGCAAGCGUUAAUCGGAAUUACUGGGCGUAAAGCGUGCGUAGGCGGUUUCUUAAGUCUGCUGUGAAAUCCCCGGGCUCAACCUGGGAAUGGCAGUGGAUACUGGGAGGCUAGAGUGUGUCAGAGGGUGGUGGAAUUCCCGGUGUAGCGGUGAAAUGCGUAGAGAUCGGGAGGAACAUCAGUGGCGAAGGCGGCCACCUGGGACAACACUGACGCUGAGGCACGAAAGCGUGGGGAGCAAACAGGAUUAGGAUACCCUGGUAGUCCACGCCCUAAAGCGAUGCGAACUGGAUGUUGGUCUCAACUCGGAGAUCAGUGUCGAAGCUAACGCGUUAAGUUCGCCGCCUGGGGAGUACGGUCGCAAGACUGAAACUUAAAGG
RNAcentral lists this ribosomal RNA (563 nucleotides) under uncultured bacterium. Its description in RNAcentral is "partial 16S ribosomal RNA". It matches the Rfam family "Bacterial small subunit ribosomal RNA", at positions 355 to 907 of the family's 1533-position model. The record is from RNAcentral.